AUGGCGACAUGGGAAGGUGUCCACGAGCUCCGCAGCUCCCCUCCGCAUCGACUACGACCACCAGUUCAAGCUGGGCGCCCCACAUCGCCGGAUCCGAGCUUCUUCCCCGUCGGCCGCCGCACGCCUUUCGUUGUCGAUCCGCGUCGCCAUCGCUGCUCCGACGUCUCCGGCCUCCCCGAGCUCGUCAUCCACACCGCGGUGAGCUCCUCAGCUGAUCCCCCUGUUUGUCCCCCUCGAUCCAUCGCCAUAUGUUGCUUGCGCUCGCUGAGGCCGCCAUGGCCGAAGCUUCGCGUCCGCAUGCCCCUGCCGCAUGCAGUCGUGACCUUGCUCCUGUGUACGCCGUGCUCGCCGUCGUGCGCCUGCUGCCGCCAUGGCAACCCAGCUUUUGCUGCUGUUGCAUGCUUGCCAUGGCAACCCAGCUUCAGUCAUCAACCUGAGGUGCUCUGGGCUCAACACUCGGAAAAGGUUUACCUGACUAUCUCAGUCCCAGAUGCAGAAGAUGUUGUGAUCAAGACUGAACCUCAGGGCAUCUUUAGCUUCUCAGUUGUUGCUCAUGGGGAAUCUUUUAGCUUGGCUUUGGAGCUAUUCAAUUCCGUACUGCCUGAGUCGUUGGUAACAGAGCGACUUAAUCAUAGGAGCUUGAUUCUACAUAUAGAUGAUCUACUUCAUAAUAUUUAUAUGCAUGCCACUAUGUUUGAAGGCUACAUAAAGGUUGGAAGUAGCCUACCCAAUAAUAAAGGAGCUGGCUCUUGUUGGUGCUCUAAGCAUGUGAAGCAAGCAUUGCAACAGCUUUUGCUGUUAGCUGUGAAGGCAAUUCAAGAAAAUAAUGCAGAGCUUGACAAGGAGGCACUGAUGUGUUCAUUUGGUGCCUGA
Molecule: ribosomal RNA, 873 nt
Filed under: Triticum aestivum (bread wheat)
Lineage: Eukaryota; Viridiplantae; Streptophyta; Magnoliopsida; Poales; Poaceae
Description: partial small subunit ribosomal RNA
Source: RNAcentral